Molecule: ribosomal RNA, 422 nt
Filed under: uncultured bacterium
Lineage: Bacteria
Description: bacterial SSU rRNA
Rfam family: Bacterial small subunit ribosomal RNA
Source: RNAcentral
UGAGGAAUAUUGGUCAAUGGGGGCAACCCUGAACCAGCCAAGUCGCGUGAAGGAUGAAGGUCUUAUGGAUUGUAAACUUCUUUUAUACAGGAAUAAAUUGGGGGACGUGUCCCCUUUUGCAUGUACUGUAUGAAUAAGGAUCGGCUAACUCCGUGCCAGCGGCCGCGGUAAUACGGAGGAUCCGAGCGUUAUCCGGAUUUACUGGGUUUAAAGGGUGCGUAGGUGGGCUUAUAAGUCAGUGGUGAAAUCUCCGAGCUUAACUUGGAAACUGCCGUUGAUACUAUAGGUCUUGAAUUAUCUGGAGGUAAGCGGAAUAUGUCAUGUAGCGGUGAAAUGCUUAGAUAUGACAUAGAACACCAAUUGCGAAGGCAGCUUACUACAUAUAAAUUGACGCUGAGGCACGAAAGCGUGGGGAUCAAACA